GAUGAACGCUGGCGGCGUGCCUAAUACAUGCAAGUCGAGCGAACGGACGAGAAGCUUGCUUCUCUGAUGUUAGCGGCGGACGGGUGAGUAACACGUGGAUAACCUACCUAUAAGACUGGGAUAACUUCGGGAAACCGUAGCUAAUACCGGAUAAUAUUUUGAACCGCAUGGUUCAAAAGUGAAAGACGGUCUUGCUGUCACUUAUAGAUGGAUCCGCGCUGCAUUAGCUAGUUGGUAAGGUAACGGCUUACCAAGGCAACGACGCAUAGCCGACCUGAGAGGCUGAUCGGCCACACUGGAACUGAGACACGGUCCAGACUCCUACGGUAGGCAGCAGUAGGGAAUCUUCCGCAAUGGGCGAAAGCCUGACGGAGCAACGCCGCGUGAGUGAUGAAGGUCUUCGGAUCGUAAAACUCUGUUAUUAGGGAAGAACAUAUGUGUAAGUAACUGUGCACAUCUUGACGGUACCUAAUCAGAAAGCCACGGCUAACUACGUG
Molecule: ribosomal RNA, 497 nt
Filed under: uncultured bacterium
Lineage: Bacteria
Description: partial 16S ribosomal RNA
Rfam family: Bacterial small subunit ribosomal RNA
Source: RNAcentral